This 422-nucleotide ribosomal RNA is filed under the name uncultured prokaryote. RNAcentral describes it as "bacterial SSU rRNA". It matches the Rfam family "Bacterial small subunit ribosomal RNA", at positions 355 to 774 of the family's 1533-position model. The record is from RNAcentral.
UGAGGAAUAUUGGUCAAUGGGCGAGAGCCUGAACCAGCCAUCCCGCGUGCAGGAUGACGGCCCUAUGGGUUGUAAACUGCUUUUGUACGGGAAUAAUAUGGCCUACGAGUAGGUUAUCGAAUGUACCGUACGAAUAAGCAUCGGCUAACUCCGUGCCAGCAGCCGCGGUAAUACGGAGGAUGCAAGCGUUAUCCGGAUUUAUUGGGUUUAAAGGGUGCGCAGGCGGGCUUGUAAGUCAGUGGUGAAAUACUGCCGCUCAACGGUAGGGUUGCCAUUGAUACUGCAAGUCUUGAGUAUGGUUGAGGCAGGCGGAAUGUGCAGUGUAGCGGUGAAAUGCUUAGAUAUUGUACAGAACGCCGAUUGCGAAGGCAGCUUGCCAAGCCAUUACUGACGCUGAGGCACGAAAGCGUGGGGAUCGAACA